AACGAACGCUGGCGGCAGGCUUAACACAUGCAAGUCGAACGCCCGGGGCAACCCGGGAGUGGCAGACGGGUGAGUAACGCGUGGGAACAUGCCCUUGGGUUCGGAACAACGUUUGGAAACGGACGCUAAUACCGGAUACGCCGUGUGAACGGGAAAGGCUUUGCUGCCUGAGGAGUGGCCCGCGUUUGAUUAGCUGGAUGGCGGGGUAACGGCCCACCAUGGCGACGAUCGAUAGCUGGUCUGAGAGGAUGGCCAGCCACAUUGGGACUGAGACACGGCCCAAACUCCUACGGGAGGCAGCAGUGGGGAAUAUUGGACAAUGGGCGCAAGCCUGAUCCAGCCAUGCCGCGUGAGUGAUGACGGCCUUAGGGUUGUAAAGCUCUUUCGCCCGCGACGAUAAUGACGGUAGCGGGAGAAGAAGCCCCGGCUAACUUCGUGCCAGCAGCCGCAGUAACAC
Molecule: ribosomal RNA, 457 nt
Filed under: uncultured bacterium
Lineage: Bacteria
Description: bacterial SSU rRNA
Rfam family: Bacterial small subunit ribosomal RNA
Source: RNAcentral